CCCCAACCAUCCGCCAGGGUACUACGAGCAUUAGCUUAAAACCCAAAGGACUUGGCGGUGCUUAAGACCCCCCUAGAGGAGCCUGUUCUAGAACCGAUACCCCCCGUUAAACCUCACCCCUCCUUGUUGAACCCGCCUAUAUACCGCCGUCGUCAGCUUACCCUGUGAAGGUUAUAUAGUAAGCAUAAUUAGCAAACCCCAAAACGUCAGGUCGAGGUGUAGCGAAUGGAGGGGGAAGAAAUGGGCUACAUUCCUUAGUGUAAGGAAAACGAAAGAUAUGAUGAAAUUUGUAUCAGAAGGAGGAUUUAGCAGUAAGUGGAAAACAGAGAGUUCCACUGAAGCCGGCCCUAAAGCGCGCACACAC
RNAcentral lists this ribosomal RNA (364 nucleotides) under Enneanectes carminalis (carmine triplefin). RNAcentral describes it as "partial 12S ribosomal RNA". It matches the Rfam family "Bacterial small subunit ribosomal RNA", at positions 859 to 1390 of the family's 1533-position model. The record is from RNAcentral. Lineage: Eukaryota; Metazoa; Chordata; Actinopteri; Blenniiformes; Tripterygiidae.